This 90-nucleotide transfer RNA is filed under the name Adineta vaga. Its description in RNAcentral is "tRNA-Ile for anticodon UAU". It matches the Rfam family "tRNA". From Rfam's summary of the family: Transfer RNA (tRNA) molecules are approximately 80 nucleotides in length. Their secondary structure includes four short double-helical elements and three loops (D, anti-codon, and T loops). The record is from RNAcentral. RNAcentral also lists the same sequence under 3 other names. Lineage: Eukaryota; Metazoa; Rotifera; Eurotatoria; Adinetida; Adinetidae.
GCCCCCGUAGCUCAGUUGGACCAGAGCGCCGUACUUAUACACAGUAUCGGAGCAAUGCGGAUGUCGUGAGUUCGAGCCUCACCGGGGGCA